AUCGCUUCUCGGCCUUUUGGCUAAGAUCAAGUGUAGUAUCUGUGAUUCUGUGAUUCUGUGAUAUCCUAGAUUACAAAUGCAUAAUUUCAUAGCAAUUACGUAUAUUACAUAAUACAAAUCACUUGUACGUCAAGUAAAGAAAGCUAUUCCUGUUAUCAAGUGCAGAAAUCUGAUUCAAUUUUU
Columba livia (rock pigeon) is the source of this 183-nucleotide non-coding RNA. The record is from Rfam. Lineage: Eukaryota; Metazoa; Chordata; Aves; Columbiformes; Columbidae.